GUCUGAUAAUGUGACCUGAUCAAGGCGACAUCAAGAGGAGAAAGAAUUGGGAGCCGCACCCAUGCUAAGUCCAUGCUGAACCGUCCCCCUGCGGCUUAACCAAACCAGACGGUGGCACAGCCCCGCAUUCAACCACCUCACGGUAACUUAGGAAGCAGCCAGCCCCUUGAGCUGCCCUAGUGCCAGCAGACACCCAGGCUGGGCGUCUCGGGAGACAGCUCCUGGCAAGCAUGUAAAGGAAUGACCCUGAAAGCAGCCUGGGCAGAGUCUCCACGAGUUUUAUCAGCUACCACAUGCCCUUUCCAGGUCAGUCAUCCCAGAGGCAGCUUUCCCUGCGGACCUUGGGGAGAGGUGACUUGUCAGUGGCGUCUGUGGCUGAUUUGAUUGCUCCUGGAUUCUCUUCCCAAAUAUCGUCAUGUUUCAGCUGAACAUCUUCAAACAGCCCUGACAGCCAACAGCUGCAGCUGUAACACAAAACGGUUCACAUCUGUUCAAAGUCCCCACCAAGAGGCUCUCCGCCCGCGCCGAGGGAGCCAGGGAGCCGAGGCCGCAGGGCCGAGCUGCUGCUGGUCUGUGCAGUGGCUGCCGGCUGUCCCAGGCCGCACACCAGCCGUAGGAGCAGAGCAGCCGCCCCCGGAGGAGACCCACGGCCGGGAGCGGGCAGCGGCUUGCCCGGCGGCCAGCCCUGUUAGCACAUGUUUUCCUCCUCGAUGCCGGCACCUCAACUCCUGCUCUGGGAGUCGCUGCAGGGACUCUCCCGGGUCUGCUGUUCAGCCCUCACAGGAGACGAGUUGUACCACGUCCAUCCAGUUCCUCAGUGGCAGGAAUGGGCCGACCUCGCGUCCUCUGUGUAAUCCUGGGCCACAGAGCUGGCAGGCCCCAGAGACAACCCUAACGGGGGGCUGGGCCCUGCAGGACUGCUAUCUGCUAGGAACCUCGCGGCCCUCCUGGGUCGUGAAAGAAUGGUCCUUUGGAUGGCAUUCAAGGCAAGAAGGCUGGACUUCUUUUUCUUUAAUAAAUGCUGUUUUCCUCUCCA
Molecule: long non-coding RNA, 1036 nt
Organism: Myotis myotis
Lineage: Eukaryota; Metazoa; Chordata; Mammalia; Chiroptera; Vespertilionidae
Exons: 2
Source: RefSeq, a predicted model, not a curated record